GGGGGGGGUUGUUACUAUAUCAAAUUUACCCAGUUUGGAGACAAUAAAUAUUUAAAAUCUAACCAUAAACUCCAAUGUUCCUGCUUUUUUUAGCAGAACAAACACGAUGGCAUUCUCGUCUCUGUUAUAAUCAAUAGUUAACUCAUUUCUUCUUCCAGGUUAUUUCUUAAUCAAUUAUGAUUAUCAGCUGUCUAUCUAUUUACCAUGUUUAUGUUAAACUGGUCCGUAAUUCCAUCGUAGUGUAUCGAUAAGUGAACACAACAGGGAUCCAGUUUAUUAAACGUCUGUAAACCGAGGUAUAUAAUAUACAAG
RNAcentral lists this long non-coding RNA (312 nucleotides) under Mytilus galloprovincialis (Mediterranean mussel). Lineage: Eukaryota; Metazoa; Mollusca; Bivalvia; Mytilida; Mytilidae. The record is from RNAcentral.